RNAcentral lists this long non-coding RNA (2784 nucleotides) under Brassica rapa (field mustard). Its description in RNAcentral is "long non-coding RNA (BRAP_LNC007844)". Lineage: Eukaryota; Viridiplantae; Streptophyta; Magnoliopsida; Brassicales; Brassicaceae. The record is from RNAcentral.
UUUAAGUUGUAACAUUCUAUUUAGUGCUGAGGUGUCACUUCCACAUAGCUUCUCACAGCCUCUGUUUAAAAACCCUUUUGUUACUAGAGAAUUUACAAAUAAUGCCACUAUAACUUAAUCAUACGACCACCUUUACAUUAAAAUGUUUCUAACAAUUAAUUAACCGAGCCCUUUGUAAUAUGUUUUACACCGAACCAUAUAUUGAUGAUUUAAAAGAUUCUUCUUUCUUAAUCACUUCAAAGUUCAAACCGAAAUCAAGAGUCGACCGUUACAUAUCGGUUUUACACCUGCCAGAAUAACAAAAGCAUAGUUAGUAUCAAUAUACUAACGAACAAGGAUAAGAGUCUUAUCAUCUCAAUAUGAACAAGUACAACGAUACCUAGAACGUGUAUAUAUACAAAUAAACUAACGAAAAAGGUCAAAGUCUUAUAUAUGGCAUAUAUGUGAACAAAAAUCCCAAGAACAUGUCCAGCAACACAAAGCUUUGACAUAUAUACAUUUAUAUAUAUGUAUAUACAUAUAUAUAUAUAUACAUAUAUAUAAAGCUUUAACUCGGAUCACAUCACUCCCAAUUUCAAAUUCACAAAUACACUAAUGAAAAAGGAAAAAUUCUUAUGACAUCUAUAAGAAAAAAGAUACCAAUAACAUGUUCAAUAUUACAAAAGCUUAUAUAUACAAAUCUUUCAAUCCCAGUUUCAAGUUCUAUUUUGCACUAACGAAAAAGGAGAAAGUAUUACUAUCUUGAGAUGAUCAUGUUACAAACUCUGAUUUGGUCCCAAUAUGCGAGAGAGUUUGGGCACACCAAUUAACUCACAUGAAGUCUAGAUUGGUUUCGUAUUAGUUGUCUUUUUCAAUAAUCUAUCUAACAUGAAGAUAUAACCAAUUGUUUGAUAAUUAAUCACCAUAUAAACAUAAACAUGGACAAUCUGAUGUGAGUCAGGUUCAUAUACUUAUAUUUUGAGUUAUAUCUUAGUUGAGAUUACAAAAUCUCUGCAGAUUCAAACUCACGAGAGGAAAGCUGACACAUGUUCAACAUUAAGCAUAAGUGAAUGUUAGUAUGGUACAUAAGGGAUAACUUCACGGGUCGUUAGUUUGUUGCAUAAUUGAUAACUGAUAAAUUUAUGAUUUUGGUUUGGUAACCUUUUGUGUGUUGGUUUAGGUUCUUGAUUAGAAUUCUGUUGGUUAUCAGUUCUUUUAGAUAUAUUAGGUUCUUAAUUAAUAGAAUAAAUUGAGUUAGUCAUAUAUAUUGUGUGUGUUCCUCAAGCCAAACUACUACUUGCUACGAGCAAAAUUCUAUGUUUUUGGAAACAAUUUAUGUCAUAAUCAAUAGCAAAUUAAUUACCUAUACAGAAUAAUCUGCCGAAUAACGCAAUUUAGAAAGUCUUAUACAGCAAAUAUAUAGGGGACAAGGAUAUAGUUAGUCAUAUAUAUUGUGUGUGUUCCUCAAGCCAAACUACUUACUUGCUACGAGCAAAAAUUCUAUGUUUUUGGAAACAAUUUAUGUCAUAAUCAAUAGCAAAUUAAUUACUUAUACAGAAUAAUCUACCGAAAUAUCAAUUUAGAAAGUCUUAUACAGCAAAUAUAUAGGGGAUGUGAUCCUAUGAAUGUUUUUGGUAAAAACUUAAUAUACCUUUAAUGAUAUCGAACAUAAAUAUAUAGGGUGUUGACUGUAUCCCAGAGACUUUCUACAAUUAAAUGACGAGUGCAUUGCGAUGUUUUAUAUAUUUGUUGGGUAAAUUGCCAUUUUAUAUAAGGCAUUUAUUACAUACUGAUCUCGGUUAUUAAGUAUUAUAUUUCAUUGAGCCCCCAUAUUCUCUAUAUAUAUAGCUACUACCUAUUCAGUGUCAUUACACAAACACAUCAUCACAACUAUAUUGUUUUUUAUCUCUUAGCUUUUGAAAUGGCUGACUUUAACUUUGUUUCCGACUUGAAACCCUUCAAGUCUAUGUGGAAAAUCAAGGUUGAGAUCAUACGCCAUUGGAAACAGUAUUCAGCUUCUGAUGGUCUCACAAUUGAAAUGGUUUUGGUGGAUUCAAACGCGAGUUUCAUAUAUACUGUGUUUCCAUUAGUUCGUAAACUCACAUAUGAAAUGGUACUUAAAUGGAUUGUAUAUCAUUUACUUAUAUUUCAGUGCUUACAUAUGGUUUUUAUUAGUGUAUUUAGCUUCGUAUUUUAUAUGUGUUGUGUUUACAUAAUGUGUCUUGGACAAAGACUUGAUUGGAUUGAUAGGGUGAUAAGUUCCACGUAACAGUUUCAAAAUUUUCUAUAGUUUUCUCAUUCUAAACUUAUAAGCUAAUUUGUUGUAUAUGUUCAAUUAAGGCAAAUUCUUCAAUAUCUUUUUUUUUUCUCAAUGAACAAUAUUUUACAUAUAUAUAUCACUAUAAUGUGUAUGUACAUACAGUAUAAAGCACAAAACUACAUUUAAGUUUGUUGACAAACCUGUAUCCGUCGUUGUCCGGGAAUCAUUCAGCCAAAAAUAAUUAUUAGUCCACCACGGCUCUUUCUCGAUGCCAUUUGAGUGGAAGGAGUUGAAGAUUUUGUAGAGGAUUUACUUUCCCAGAACAUCCAGUUUUGUAUUUUUCCAAUUUGAUCGUUUGUCAAAAAAAGAGGAAUCACUAAUCGGAAACAAUCGCAAGUAGGGGAAAAAAUAAGAAACGGCUGGAAGAAAAGUAAGAAAACGAAAACUCACAUGUGUUCGUCUGGUGAAAAGCAAAUUGAUUUCGUUUAAACCCUAAUCCCCCUUUGCUCAUGAGAGAGACGAUUUGUCUCGGAUGAAUUUUUUUC